UUACGGCCAUAUCACGUUGAAACACCGGUUCUCGUACGAUCACCGAAGUUAAGUAAUGUCGAGCCUGGUCAGUACCUACAUGGGUGACCGCUGGGGAAUAUCAGAUGUUAUA
This is a non-coding RNA of Acanthosepion pharaonis, 112 nucleotides long. The record is from the annotation of a GenBank genome assembly. Lineage: Eukaryota; Metazoa; Mollusca; Cephalopoda; Sepiida; Sepiidae.